CCCUUGAUAGCUCAGUUGGUAGAGCGGUAGACUGUAAAUGGAUAAUAAUCUCGCAGCACCCAUCUAUAGGUCGCUGGUUCGACUCCGGCUCGAGGGA
Molecule: transfer RNA, 97 nt
Filed under: Tilletia controversa (dwarf bunt fungus)
Lineage: Eukaryota; Fungi; Basidiomycota; Exobasidiomycetes; Tilletiales; Tilletiaceae
Rfam family: tRNA
About the family: Transfer RNA (tRNA) molecules are approximately 80 nucleotides in length. Their secondary structure includes four short double-helical elements and three loops (D, anti-codon, and T loops).
Source: Rfam by way of RNAcentral